GAUGAACGCUGGCGGCGUGCCUAAUACAUGCAAGUCGAGCGAACGGACGAGAAGCUUGCUUCUCUGAUGUUAGCGGCGGACGGGUGAGUAACACGUGGACAACCUACCUAUAAGACUGGGAUAACUUCGGGAAACCGUAGCUAAUACCGGAUAAUAUUUUGAACCGCAUGGUUCAAAAGUGAAAGACGGUCUUGCUGUCACUUAUAGAUGGAUCCGCGCUGCAUUAGCUAGUUGGUAAGGUAACGGCUUACCAAGGCAACGAUGCAUAGCCGACCUGAGAGGGUGAUCGGCCACACUGGAACUGAGACACGGUCCAGACUCCUACGGGAGGCAGCAGUAGGGAAUCUUCCGCAAUGGGCGAAAGCAUGACGGAGCAACGCCGCGUGAGUGAUGAAGGUCUUCGGAUCGUAAAACUCUGUUAUUAGGGAAGAACAUAUGUGUAAGUAACUGUGCACAUCUUGACGGUACCUAAUCAGAAAGCCACGGCUAACUACGUG
Molecule: ribosomal RNA, 497 nt
Filed under: uncultured bacterium
Lineage: Bacteria
Description: partial 16S ribosomal RNA
Rfam family: Bacterial small subunit ribosomal RNA
Source: RNAcentral